This 158-nucleotide non-coding RNA is filed under the name Alphaproteobacteria bacterium. RNAcentral describes it as "6S RNA". It matches the Rfam family "6S / SsrS RNA". From Rfam's summary of the family: E. coli 6S RNA was the first non coding RNA to be sequenced, but its function was unknown until recently. It consists of 184 nucleotides that fold into an extended hairpin structure with a large single-stranded internal bulge. Lineage: Bacteria; Pseudomonadati; Pseudomonadota; Alphaproteobacteria. The record is from RNAcentral.
AGGCCACUGCGCGACGCGACAGGCAGCAAUUACCCCGGGGCCGAUAAUUAGACUCCUAGGGAGCUGUCCCUGACCGAGGCCGUGGCUUCGGACACACGGUGCCCACCUGCUUAUGCAGGCCACGGAGGAAUGCACGCCACCGGUCGAUGCGGGGCCUU